UGCACUCUCAGAGAUGUGGUCCUCUGGCUCAAAAGCAGAACAAGGCUUUGAAAGCAAACAGCUUUCAGGACUUGCUGGCCCGAAGGACUAUUAAGCUUUCAGCUCCUAUUGUUAAAAAAAGAGUGUAAGACAUUGAUUUGAAGGAAACACCUGAAGACACAAUGAGGAGGAGAUGGCAGAGCACUCAUCACAGGCAACUGAUGUCCACCCUGGAGGCCAUCUUGGCCUCCAUCACAUGCAGGUUAUGAAGCUCUGCAGCUAGCUGGAUCACUUUUAUUUUACCAUGCCAAAAAGCAAGCUGUAACUCCAUCUGCCAGGAAGGAAAAUUCUCCUGCUGGGGGUGCAUUGCCACAGUGUUUAUCUGGAGAAAGAGAAGUUAAAAGAAGGAGUGCUGCCUGCCCAGCAAGAGCCUGGAUUUAUUCCAUGCAAACAAAUUUUGAGCUGUCUUUUGCAGUCAGUAGAUGAACUGCAUGACAUUUUCUCCCAAG
RNAcentral lists this long non-coding RNA (488 nucleotides) under Gallus gallus (chicken). RNAcentral's name for it is "long non-coding RNA NONGGAT001253". The record is from RNAcentral. Lineage: Eukaryota; Metazoa; Chordata; Aves; Galliformes; Phasianidae.